UGGUGUGGUGACACUGGGGUGAGAGUACAGAUGGUUGUUAGAAAAUAAUUUGCACUGAGCGUGACUAAUACAAGAAAUCACUUGGAUGUCUACUCAUUCAUCAAUAGUCUUCUCGAUGCUGCAGUGGUGUGAGUGAUCCUUUGACCUGUAAUGUCAUUGGUUAUUCGCAGUGAUGUUACUGAAUUUGAUUGCACGUUUUCUUGAUUCCUAGCCAUUUGGAUCUUUGCUGUAUAUGUUGGCUAUAGUAUC
Molecule: long non-coding RNA, 249 nt
Filed under: Elaeis guineensis (African oil palm)
Lineage: Eukaryota; Viridiplantae; Streptophyta; Magnoliopsida; Arecales; Arecaceae
Description: long non-coding RNA (EGUI_LNC032501)
Source: RNAcentral